ACCCCGGGUCUGCAGUGGGUACGGGCAGACUAGAGUGCAGUAGGGGAGACUGGAAUUCCUGGUGUAGCGGUGAAAUGCGCAGAUAUCAGGAGGAACACCGAUGGCGAAGGCAGGUCUCUGGGCUGUUACUGACGCUGAGGAGCGAAAGCAUGGGGAGCGAACAGGAUUAGAUACCCUGGUAGUCCAUGCCGUAAACGUUGGGCACUAGGUGUGGGGGACAUUCCACGUUCUCCGCGCCGUAGCUAACGCAUUAAGUGCCCCGCCUGGGGAGUACGGCCGCAAGGCUAAAACUCAAAGGAAUUGACGGGGGCCCGCACAAGCGGCGGAGCAUGCGGAUUAAUUCGAUGCAACGCGAAGAACCUUACCAAGGCUUGACAUUCACCGGACCGCACUGGAGACAGUGUUUCCCUUCGGGGUCGGUGGACAGGUGGUGCAUGGUUGUCGUCAGCUCGUGUCGUGAGAUGUUGGGUUAAGUCCCGCAACGAGCGCAACCCUCGUUCUAUGUUGCCAGCACGUGAUGGUGGGGACUCAUAGGAGACUGCCGGGGUCAACUCGGAGGAAGGUGGGGAUGACGUCAAAUCAUCAUGCCCCUUAUGUCUUGGGCUUCACGCAUGCUACAAUGGCCGGUACAAAGGGUUGCGAUACUGUGAGGUGGAGCUAAUCCCAAAAAGCCGGUCUCAGUUCGGAUUGAGGUCUGCAACUCGACCUCAUGAAGUCGGAGUCGCUAGUAAUCGCAGAUCAGCAACGCUGCGGUGAAUACGUUCCCGGGCCUUGUACACACCGCCCGUUAAGUAAACGGGAAGUUGGUAACACCCGAAGCCGGUGGCCUA
Molecule: ribosomal RNA, 830 nt
Filed under: Kocuria sp. RY16
Lineage: Bacteria; Bacillati; Actinomycetota; Actinomycetes; Micrococcales; Micrococcaceae
Description: bacterial SSU rRNA
Rfam family: Bacterial small subunit ribosomal RNA
Source: RNAcentral